CCUUCGAUAGCUCAGCUGGUAGAGCGGAGGACUGUAGAGUGAUUAUCUGUAGGAAUCCUUAGGUCGCUGGUUCGAUUCCGGCUCGAAGGA
RNAcentral lists this transfer RNA (90 nucleotides) under Sarcophilus harrisii (Tasmanian devil). It matches the Rfam family "tRNA". Rfam says of the family: Transfer RNA (tRNA) molecules are approximately 80 nucleotides in length. Lineage: Eukaryota; Metazoa; Chordata; Mammalia; Dasyuromorphia; Dasyuridae. The record is from Rfam by way of RNAcentral.